RNAcentral lists this ribosomal RNA (484 nucleotides) under uncultured bacterium. RNAcentral describes it as "partial 16S ribosomal RNA". It matches the Rfam family "Bacterial small subunit ribosomal RNA", at positions 30 to 507 of the family's 1533-position model. The record is from RNAcentral.
AUUGAACGCUGGCGGCAGGCCUAACACAUGCAAGUCGAGCGGAUGAAGGGAGCUUGCUCCUGGAUUCAGCGGCGGACGGGUGAGUAAUGCCUAGGAAUCUGCCUGGUAGUGGGGGAUAACGUCCGGAAACGGGCGCUAAUACCGCAUACGUCCUGAGGGAGAAAGUGGGGGAUCUUCGGACCUCACGCUCUCAGAUGAGCCUAGGUCGGAUUAGCUAGUUGGUGGGGUAAAGGCCUACCAAGGCGACGAUCCGUAACUGGUCUGAGAGGAUGAUCAGUCACACUGGAGCUGGGACACGGUCCAGACUCCUACGGGAGGCAGCAGUGGGGAAUAUUGGACAAUGGGCGAAAGCCUGAUCCAGCCAUGCCGCGUGUGUGAAGAAGGUCUUCGGAUUGUAAAGCACUUUAAGUUGGGAGGAAGGGCAGUAAGUUAAUACCUUGCUGUUUUGACGUUACCAACAGAAUAAGCACCGGCUAACUUCGUG